Molecule: ribosomal RNA, 484 nt
Filed under: uncultured bacterium
Lineage: Bacteria
Description: bacterial SSU rRNA
Rfam family: Bacterial small subunit ribosomal RNA
Source: RNAcentral
GAUGAACGCUGGCGGCGUGCUUAACACAUGCAAGUCGAACGAAGCAUUUACUUACGAUCCCUUCGGGGUGACGAGUAUCUGACUUAGUGGCGGACGGGUGAGUAACGCGUGGGUAACCUGCCUUGUACUGGGGGACAAUAGUUGGAAACGACUGCUAAUACCGCAUAAGCGCACAGUAUCGCAUGAUACAGUGUGAAAAACUCAGGUGGUACAAGAUGGACCCGCGUCUGAUUAGCUAGUUGGUGGGGUAACGGCCUACCAAGGCGACGAUCAGUAGCCGACUUGAGAGAGUGAUCGGCCACAUUGGGACUGAGACACGGCCCAAACUCCUACGGGAGGCAGCAGUGGGGAAUAUUGCACAAUGGGGGGAACCCUGAUGCAGCGACGCCGCGUGAAGGAUGAAGUAUUUCGGUAUGUAAAGCUCUAUCAGCAGGGAAGAAAAUGACGGUACCUGACUAAGAAGCCCCGGCUAACUACGUGCCAG